Rattus norvegicus (Norway rat) is the source of this 4894-nucleotide non-coding RNA. NCBI's taxonomy places the organism in Eukaryota, Metazoa, Chordata, Mammalia, Rodentia, Muridae. The record is from RefSeq and is a predicted model, not a curated record.
GUCAUGGAAUCCACCUGAGCUCCUAUGCCAGAAAGAAAAAUAAAAGGAAAAGCCAGGAGUGAGCAGGGCAUGGUGCCUUGGUGCCCCCACGCCUUUAAUCCCAGUACUGGGAGUGAGGGGAGUUUGAGGAGGCCGGGUCUGGGGGGAGGCAGGUGGAUCUCUGUGAGUUUGAAGCCAGCCUGGCCUACACAGCAAAUGCCACACCAGUUUCAGAGAGGUACAGAGAUGGGUCAGCAGUUAAGAGCACUGGCUGCUUUUCCAGAGGGCCCUGUUUCCAUUUAUAGCAUACAUGAUGGUUCUCAACUGUCUGUAACUCCAUUUGUUGCAUGGGAUCUGAUGCCCUCUUCUGGCCUCUGUGGGAGUCAGGUACCCAUAUAGUACACUGGCAGACACAGACAUGUGGGCAAAACACCAAUACACAUAAAAAGGGAGGGGGACCAGGGAGAUGGUUCAGCAGGCAAACAUUUGGCAACCUAAGUGUGAUCUCCAGAAACCACAGAAAAAACUGGAUAUGGUGGCUUGAAUCUGUAAUUCUAGCACUCCUACUAAGAGAUGGGAGGUGGUACAGUAUCAGUGGAAAGCUCACAUCCAAAGUACCAGAGGCAAAACCAACAAAGACAUUGCCUCAAAACCAAGGUGGAAGCCCAGAUGGCACAGGCCUUUAAUACCAGCACUCAGAAGAAAGAAGCAAGAAAAUCUUUGUGUUCCAGGCCAGCCAAGACUAAGCAGCACCAGGGGGUUUAGAAGAGAAAACAACCACCGUCCAAAAGGGUGUGGGAAUAGGGGCAAAAGGCAAGUAGCCCUCAAGCUAUGCUGGAGCAAGAUUUCGAUUGGGAACAGAAGCUACAUCCCAAGCCAAGACAAGGAUGGGAAGGAGAGGCAGACAGAAGACCAAAGGGCUGGAACAGAAUCCUUGGAUUCAGUGAAAAUAGAGCUUAGAGGCUACAAGAAAUACAAGGCUCUACCAGGGACUGUCCGCCACAGCUGAAUUAGGACCCACGAGUCUGGAUUUUUGCUUUGCCUCCUACUAGCUGAGGGACUCUGACCAAGUUAUUUAGCUCUUGAGGCUUCCCUGUUGUGUCCUCUACAAAGUGGGGAUAAUGACAGAGGUACCAAAAGAAUCUUGGGGUGAAUCAUUGAGAUAGCUCUCACUCAGUAGAGGGCUAUUAGAGUCAUUGUGAGAAGCAACUGGGAAGUGUGAACUGUGAUGAUUGUGUGGACUAUUGGGUCUACCAGAAGGAAGCACUGAAGGCUUCCCUCCGAGGUAGAGAGUACAGAGGUGGAGGGUACCUCAGGCUGUGCUGUUGAGAUGAAUACUGCAGAAGGGCUGGGAAUGGGCAGAUGGCCAGAAGCCACAGGCAGAUAGGAAACUAUUGUAUCCAGGCAAGCAGGGGAGAGCAGCUGUUUUUAGAAGCAAGGGAUACAAGAAUCCAGAUAGCCCUGAGCUUUCUAGGCUGGGAGAUGUACCUGGGAGAGGUGGGCUAGUUGGUGACGGGAUGCAGGGACAGCCAAACAGGAGGAAAGGCUCAAUCAUAGAGGUGUUUGGGGCUAUGUGGAGAUGUUGCUCCGUGUGAAGCAGGGGUAUGGGAGGCAGGGGUUGGGCCUUGAGCACACACAGUGGAAUCAGCUGGCAAAUCUCCCUUGAGAGAAGCAAUCAACCCUGAGCAUGACUCCAAUGUGACUCAUCACUCACAGAAAGGAGAUAUAAUUACUUAGGCUUUUUUUGGGGGGGGUGCUUUAGGUGUGCCUGACACUAUGGCAAGCCAUUACAUGCCUUAAUUUAGGGUUCAAAAGCCCUAGAAGAUGAUACUGUUACCAUCUAAAUUCCAUACAGUAGACUGGAUAAGUCAGAAUCAAUAAGGCUGAUGCUAAUCCAGAACUUUGAGCAGGUACACAGAGAUUUGGGCUUCCCUGACCAUUACGGCAGGCUUUGUUCGGAUUGGCUGAUGCCUAUCCUACUGGUUAUUCAAUGUUUUGAACGUUGCCUUGGUUACACAGCUGGAUGAAGGCAGUAGAAUCCAAACCACCCCUGAGCAAGACAAAAUUAUUCCAUUUUAUUGCCGUCCCGCCCAGAGGCAACAACCUUUGUAAACUGUAAAGUCCGUUAUAAAUAGCAAGUUCGCUGAUCUUGUUGAAGUUGGAACAAGCUGAAUUGGAUGGUUGAGGAGACGCUGCUGUGGAGAGCCAGCAUUCUUUCGGUCCGCUCGAGAGGAAACCAAGACACAAGGGACCUGGUCAAUGGAGCCCUGCUGUUACUGAAGCCCUCCAGCAUUCAUAGAUGAGGUUAGCCUUGGCCUGUCUUCAGGGACUGAGUAGACCCUUCCAUAGCUGUCCGGCAGAGGGCGCUACUCCCCCAGCCUUUCCUUCUGCUGGCCAUACUAACCGCAACUCCACUCCAAACACACUCCCGCCCUGGCACACAAGAAACCGGAAUGGAGGGGGAGGCCCCUGGGACUUUGAGAAGUGAUCAAGGGGAGCCAUGGAAGUUGAGAAUGGGUCCUUGUCCCACAGAGAGGUAAAACAAGGCCAAAGGAAAGCUGACACCCACUUUCAGUACCAUAAACCUUGGACCCAUUUUACUGGAGUAAUUUGAGACUGGACAAUAUUAGAUGGCACAGGAGGAGAAAAGGAGAGGGUGAGAGAGAGAGAGGGAGUGUGAGAGAGAGAGAGACAGAGACAGAGACACCCAGAGACACCCAGAGAACACUAGGUCUUGUGAUCCCAAGAUCAGUUUCAAAGACCACAAGUCAAUACCAACUCGCUGGAUCCGGUGGGGUCGGGUGCACCUGCCUGUUUUUGUGGUACUGAACCAUGACCUAGCCAAGAUGGUCUUCCCGAGAGUGGAGUCUGACCACAGAACAACAGCUUCCUCUUUGUUAUUUGAUUAGUUUGGAGGGUUUGGGUUGGUUGGUUGGUUUCCUUAUUUUUAAAGACAAGGUCUCUUGCAGCCUAAGCUCGGCUCAGGCUCUGUAAGGAAGGCUGGCUUUGAAUUCAUUGAUCUCCCUGUAUCCCAAGGUCUGAGAUAACGUGCCACUACCCAGUUGUUUUUUAAUUAAAUGUUUGAAGUCCUGAGUUCCUGCUUCUGUGUCCUCUGCCUCCCAGGAACCACCCGCUCCUCCACCCACUGCCCACACAAGCAGCUUCACAUAGGCAAAUCCUGGGUUUCUCCUCUGCUCCCAGAAGCAAGCUCUAGGCCACCAAAGCCACGUGCUGUUAUGUGACCCUUUCUUCCUUCACCCUCUCCACCCCGUCCAGCGCCCCCACCCCAUAAUAGGCAGAGGCAGCAGCGCAAAUAAACAGGAGGAUAUAUAUGAACUGAGACAAGUCUCUGCCACCUCCCACCACCGAUCUCAGUUCCUCCAUUAAAAACAAUCCAAAUUGGAAAAGGUUUGGGAGUCAACGGGUCCAUCUUGCACCAACUCUUCUUUUUACGGGGGGUUGGGGAAUCCGGGCGCCGCCUCUCCAGAUCUACGGCCAAAUUUACAAGACCAGACUAGGCUGGGCAGCGGCCGGCACGAGAGGGAAACUCUAGCCCGGAGGCGGGAAUUGGACAUGUCCGACUGUGGGAGGCCCAGAGCCGGCAUCUCUAAAAUUGGUGGGGUGGGGGAACGGCUAAAAGAUCGUUUCGACAAAGGGCCCCCCCAUCCCCGCCUCCCGCAUCUCUGAGGUUCCUGUGUCUAGCCGUGGCGCCCUAACGAGCCUCUAUUUCAUUUCCUCCCCUUUCUGUCCAACCCUUUACUUCCUUCUGCUUUGGGAGUCGUAGGCAGCUCGCGUGUCUGGGCCCACGUGCGUAGACACGGGUUCAACUUCCAGCACUGCCAUGAAGGCUCACAAGCACCUGCAACUCCAGUUCUGGGAAAGCCAGUUUAGUUUCCUCUUCUGGUUUCCUUGGGCACCAGACACACUACACGCAAGUAAAACAAAGAUAUAAGCAAAUUUCCAUACUGAAAUUUGAAUACUGAGGAAAACGGCUUGGGGAAGAGGGCUGUUGGGAAACAGCAAAAUACACGGAAAAAAAAAAAAUGAACUCUGCUCCUGGAGGAGUUCUGUUCUGCCAUGAACAGGAACAAACAAGGCCUUCAUGUCUUAGCGAGGGUAAUUACAGAAGCCUGUGUCUGUUAAAGAACAGGUUAGGAAAGUGUGUACGCCGUACUUCUGCUAAUGUAGAGUUUCAAAACAAGAAUAUUAAGUAUACAAAAUGAGUUUAGGGGAUGGAGAUGUGGUUCUGGGGUUAAGGACACCAGGUACUCUUGCAGAGGACCCAAAUUCAGAUCUCAGUGCUCAUGCUGGGCGGCUCUCAACCACCUGUAAGACCAGUUCCAGAAAGAUGUAGCUUCUGGAUUCCGUUGGUACCCUGUAUUCCCAUCCUCCUCCCACCACCUUCUCUCUCUGCUUUAUGAGACAUAGUCUGUCUAUGUAACCCUGGCUGGCCUUGAACUAACUAUAUUGACCAGGCUGGCCCAAAACACAGAGAUCUGCCUGCUUCUACCUUCUAAGUGCUGAAAUUAAAAGCACAGCCAUCAUGUCCCUCCCCCUCUCUUCCUCCCUCCCUCCCUCCCCCUCCCCCCCUCUCUCUCUCUUUAAAAUAAUAAAAGUCAAUAUUUUGAGGACUGGAAGCGGAGGUUUUGAUCGUGAUGUAAAGCGAAUAAAUAAAUGAAAAAGGGGGAAAGUCACUGUUCUAAAAAUAAAAUAAAAAUUAAGUAUAUAAAAUAAAUCUUUACAAUAGACUUGUGUUUCUAAUCUGCAGAAGAAGAAUAUAAACAUCUUGCAGGAUGUUGGCCACUGACUCAGAAUAGCACUGAGCUCUGGGAAGUAAAGGAAGCAAAGCACCCAGGCUCUAACUCUUCUCCACAGCUUACAGCUUUGGUGUGCGCGCGCGCGCGCGUGUGUGUGU